CCUACGGGCGGCAGCAGUCGAGAAUCAUUCACAAUGGGGGAAACCCUGAUGGUGCGACGCCGCGUGGGGGAAUGAAGGUCUUCGGAUUGUAAACCCCUGUCAUGUGGGAGCAAAUUGAAAAGAUAGUACCACAAGAGGACGAGACGGCUAACUCUGUGCCAGCAGCCGCGGUAAUCCAGAGGUCUCAAGCGUUGGUCGGAAUCACUGGGCGUAAAGCGUGCGUAGGCUGUUUCGUAAGUCGUGUGUGAAAGGCGCGGGCUCAACCCGCGGACGGCACAUGAUACUGCGAGACUAGAGUGAUGGAGGGGGAACCGGAAUUCUCGGUGUAGCAGUGAAAUGCGUAGAUAUCGAGAGGAACACUCGUGGCGAAGGCGGGUUCCUGGACAUUAACUGACGCUGAGGCACGAAGGCCAGGGGAGCGAAAGGGAUUAGAUACCCUAGUAGUC
This 446-nucleotide ribosomal RNA is filed under the name uncultured bacterium. RNAcentral's name for it is "partial 16S ribosomal RNA". It matches the Rfam family "Bacterial small subunit ribosomal RNA", at positions 338 to 795 of the family's 1533-position model. The record is from RNAcentral.